AGAGUUUGAUCCUGGCUCAGGAUGAACGCUGGCGGCGUGCUUAACACAUGCAAGUCGAACGAACCUUCGGGUUAGUGGCGGACGGGUGAGUAACGCGUGAGAAUCUGCCCUCAGGAGGGGGAUAACGGCUGGAAACGGCCGCUAAUACCCCAUAUGCCGAGAGGUGAAACGAGUUUUCGCCUGAGGAUGAGCUCGCGUCUGAUUAGCUAGUUGGUGGGGUAAGAGCCUACCAAGGCAUCGAUCAGUAGCUGGUCUGAGAGGAUGAUCAGCCACACUGGGACUGAGACACGGCCCAGACUCCUACGGGAGGCAGCAGUGGGGAAUUUUCCGCAAUGGGCGAAAGCCUGACGGAGCAACGCCGCUGAGGGAUGAAGGCCUCUGGGCUGUAAACCUCUUUUAUCAAGGAAGAAGAUCUGACGGUACUUGAUGAAUAAGCCACGGCUAAUUCCGUGCCAGCAGCCGCGGUAAUACGGGAGUGGCAAGCGUUAUCCGGAAUUAUUGGGCGUAAAGCGUCCGCAGGCGGCCUGAUAAGUCUGUUGUCAAAGCGUGGAGCUCAACUCCAUUUCGGCAAUGGAAACUGUGAGGCUUGAGUGUGGUAGGGGCAGAGGGAAUUCCCGGUGUAGCGGUGAAAUGCGUAGAUAUCGGGAAGAACACCAGUGGCGAAGGCGCUCUGCUGGGCCAUAACUGACGCUCAUGGACGAAAGCCAGGGGAGCGAAAGGGAUUAGAUACCCCUGUAGUCCUGGCCGUAAACGAUGAACACUAGGUGUCGGGGGAGUCGACCCCCUCGGUGUCGUAGCCAACGCGUUAAGUGUUCCGCCUGGGGAGUACGCACGCAAGUGUGAAACUCAAAGGAAUUGACGGGGGCCCGCACAAGCGGUGGAGUAUGUGGUUUAAUUCGAUGCAACGCGAAGAACCUUACCAGGGUUUGACAUCCUGCGAAUCCCUUGGAAACGAGGGAGUGCCUUCGGGAGCGCAGAGACAGGUGGUGCAUGGCUGUCGUCAGCUCGUGUCGUGAGAUGUUGGGUUAAGUCCCGCAACGAGCGCAACCCACGUCUUUAGUUGCCAGCAUUGAGUUGGGCACUCUAGAGAGACCGCCGGUGAUAAACCGGAGGAAGGUGUGGAUGACGUCAAGUCAUCAUGCCCCUUACAUCCUGGGCUACACACGUACUACAACGCUACGGACAAAGGGCAGCAAACUCGCGAGAACUAGCAAAUCCCAUAAACCGUGGCUCAGUUCAGAUCGUAGGCUGCAACUCGCCUACGUGAAGGAGGAAUCGCUAGUAAUCGCAGGUCAGCAUACUGCGGUGAAUACGUUCCCGGGCCUUGUACACACCGCCCGUCACACCAUGGAAGUUGGCCACGCCCGAAGCCGUUACUCCAACCCUUGUGGAGGAGGACGUCGAAGGUGGGGCUGAUGACUGGGGUGAAGUCGUAACAAGGUA
RNAcentral lists this ribosomal RNA (1443 nucleotides) under metagenome. RNAcentral describes it as "bacterial SSU rRNA". It matches the Rfam family "Bacterial small subunit ribosomal RNA". The record is from RNAcentral.